Molecule: ribosomal RNA, 407 nt
Filed under: uncultured bacterium
Lineage: Bacteria
Description: partial 16S ribosomal RNA
Rfam family: Bacterial small subunit ribosomal RNA
Source: RNAcentral
AUUGAACGCUGGCGGCAGGCCUAACACAUGCAAGUCGAGCGGAGCGAGGGACGGGUGAGUAAGGACUAUGAAUCUGUCUGGUAGUGAGAGAUAAAGAACGGAAAGGGGCGCUAAUACCGACUACUCUCAGAUGCGUCUAGGUCGGAGUAGCUAGUUGGUGGGGUAAUGGCUCACCAAGGCGACGAUCCUUAACUGGUCUGAGAGGAUGAUCAGUCACACUGGAACUGAGACACGGUCCAGACUCCUACGGGAGGCAGCAGUGGGGAAUAUUGGACAAUGGGCGAAAGCCUGAUGCAGCCAUGCCGCGUGUAUGAAGAAGGUCUUCGGGUUGUAAAGCACUUUCAGUUGGGAGGCGUUACCGACAGAAUAAGCACCGGCUAACUCCGUGCCAGCAGCCGCGGUAAUUC